GCGGUAGGCCUUUCGGGGUCACGAGCGGCGAACGGGUGAGUAACACGUGGGUGAUCUGCCCUGCACUUCGGGAUAAGCCUGGGAAACUGGGUCUAAUACCGGAUAUGACCUCCUAUCGCAUGGUGGGUGGUGGAAAGAUUUAUCGGUGCAGGAUGGGCCCGCGGCCUAUCAGCUUGUUGGUGGGGUAAUGGCCUACCAAGGCGACGACGGGUAGCCGACCUGAGAGGGUGACCGGCCACACUGGGACUGAGACACGGCCCAGACUCCUACGGGAGGCAGCAGUGGGGAAUAUUGCACAAUGGGCGAAAGCCUGAUGCAGCGACGCCGCGUGAGGGAUGACGGCCUUCGGGUUGUAAACCUCUUUCAGCAGGGACGAAGCGCAAGUGACGGUACCUGCAGAAGAAGCACCGGCUAACUACGUGCCAGCAGCCGCGGUAAUACGUAGGGUGCAAGCGUUGUCCGGAAUUACUGGGCGUAAAGAGUUCGUAGGCGGUUUGUCGCGUCGUUUGUGAAAACCAGCAGCUCAACUGCUGGCUUGCAGGCGAUACGGGCAGACU
RNAcentral lists this ribosomal RNA (557 nucleotides) under antibiotic-resistant bacterium RJ2. Its description in RNAcentral is "bacterial SSU rRNA". It matches the Rfam family "Bacterial small subunit ribosomal RNA", at positions 66 to 642 of the family's 1533-position model. Lineage: Bacteria; Bacillati; Actinomycetota; Actinomycetes; Mycobacteriales; Nocardiaceae. The record is from RNAcentral.